AAACAAUCGCGAAGAGAGGUUGUGCACCCCUGGUAUGCAUAUCGAUAUGCACAGAUAAAAACAUAUGUUUGAAGAACAUAUGAUGAAAAGGCAGAGUGCAAUUUAUUGCAAAAGUUGCAACUGAAAGAGAUGACAAUUUCUCCCAAGUGCAAGUGAACGUGUGUUCGACAGGCCGAAGAAGUGAGUGACGCAAAAUGGCUGCGAGGGAAUCAUCCGGUGGAACGAGAGGUAGCAGCUGAGAAGACUCCACAUCCCAAUCACCGAGCAGUGCCGCCAGUUUAGUUAAGUUGAUUGUGUAGUUUAAGCCAGUGCAUUGUAGUGUUGUUUUGCUGCAUGUGUGUAUGUGCAUACGUGCCAAAUAAAACUUUAAUUGAAUAUAAAAU
RNAcentral lists this small RNA (383 nucleotides) under Drosophila mojavensis. RNAcentral describes it as "GI25671". Lineage: Eukaryota; Metazoa; Arthropoda; Insecta; Diptera; Drosophilidae. The record is from RNAcentral.